Molecule: ribosomal RNA, 229 nt
Filed under: uncultured eukaryote
Lineage: Eukaryota
Description: partial small subunit ribosomal RNA
Rfam family: Eukaryotic small subunit ribosomal RNA
Source: RNAcentral
AGCUCCAAUAGCGUAUACUAACGUUGUUGCAGUUAAAAAGCUCGUAGUUGGAUUUCUGUAUUGGUUAGCAGGCCGGCUCUUACGAGUUGUAGCCUUGUUUAAUCGAUGCAUCUUGUCACAAUAGGUACUGACAUUCGCUUGUUGGUGUUCUGGACUGACUCGUUUACUUUGAGAAAAUUGAGUGUUCAAAGCAGGCUAUCGCCUUGAAUAUAUUAGCAUGGAAUAAUGA